This is a long non-coding RNA of Vespa crabro (European hornet), 3579 nucleotides long. RefSeq lists it as uncharacterized. The transcript is spliced from 2 exons. Lineage: Eukaryota; Metazoa; Arthropoda; Insecta; Hymenoptera; Vespidae. The record is from RefSeq and is a predicted model, not a curated record.
CUUUUUCUUCUUUUUGUAUAAUGUUUUAAAAAACGUAAUUUUCAUAUUCAUAUAUUUUUCUACCGUACGUGACAAUGGGAAAUAUCAAAAUGGUAGCGAUGAGGAUUGCGUGAGUUUUAUAAUUGUUUUUCUUUUUUUUUUUUUUUUUUUCUUUUUUUUUUUUUAACAAAUGAAAAGAGAGAAAAAGAUGUGAAUAAUAUUUUUUCAAUGUUUUAUAAAUGAUUUUGAUUGCUCCGCUACUGGCAAACGUGUCGUGUUCAUCGAAACAUUUUCUCUCUCUCUCUCUCUCUCUCUUCUUUCUCUAUCUAUCUCAUUUCGCCAUAUGUCUGUCUCCGUUACAAAGCACGUCGCGUCACGAGCGAUAAGCGCACGCGAUCUCGAGUAGCGCUUCUGUCCUCUUCGUAGUUCCGUGUCGACGCGUUCGAUAACGAAUGUUGUUGGUUAUGUUGCACAAAGCGAAACUUAACUUACACAAACUCUUUCUUAUUGACCCGUUUCCUUUGUAAAAGUUUUUUCUUUACUCGUUAUAUCUAAACAAAAAAAGAGAAAAAAAAGACCCCUGUUCACCCUCUUCCUUCAUAAUUUUGCCAUCAUUCGAAUUAAUUUUUAUUUAAACAAAUUGGAUAUAUUUUUUGUUUAUAUAUAUAAAUUUAUUAAUUAAUAGAAACAAUAUUAUCAUGAAAAAUAUCACUUCAUUUGAUUAUUGCAGUAUUAUUCGAUUAUGCAUUUCGCGGGGAAAGCUUUUUGAUUGAUCGUGGUCAAUUGCAGCACUCUCUCUUUAUGUUUCUGCUUGAUACUUUUAUUUUCAAAACUGCAUAAUAAAUUAAAACAGAUAAUAACUAAUACUUCUAAUCAUAAAUCAUAAUUUCUUUCGCAUAAAUCGAAACAAAAUAUAUUCCUGCCUCGUGUCGAUCUUAUUAUUGAUCGAUACGAUACAAUCAAUAAGAUAUAUAACGUUCAUUCGCGAUGAAACGUACAUAAAAAUAUAUGCAUGCAUGCAUGCAUAUAUGUAUAUAUGUGUGUGUAUGUAUAUGUAUCGUAAAACGGGAUUAUUGACCACGAUAUAUAAUAAGGGCUCAUAAAAAAUCCUUAGCUCAUUAGCAAUAAUACGAGAUUGUGAUCUUUAGUCAGGAAAAAAAAAAAAAGAAAAAAAAAAGAAAAAGAAAAAAGAAAACAAAACAAAAAAUAGAAGAAAAAAAAAACCAGCGAAUGAUUUGCUCUCUGACGCAACUCGAGAGCAAGCUCGACAUUAAACUCGUUUCGUUCUUUGACUAUCAAUAAUAGUAUCUCGUGUUGUGUAAUAUUAGAAUGUAUUAUUACUUCAUAUGAUUAUUCGUAAUCAUCGAUGGUAUGUGUUUUUGUAAUCAUAACUUUGCAUUGCAAUUAAUUAAUCUGAACAUUUCUGAUUUUUCUUUAAUUAUUAAGUUUAAUAUAGGGCUAGGUAAAAAAAGAAGUUCCUAGGUAAUUUUCAAAAAUCAAUUAAAUGUUUUAGAACACUCUUCCCCCCUCCCCCCAUACCAUCCUAAUAUUCACCAUCCUUAUUUCUAUUAUUUCCAAAUUGUCGAUAAUUAUCUUUUCAAAAUCUAGAGCACAAGAUUCCGUACGAAAUUUAACAAUCGGUAGGGGCAAGCUAUAUAUAUAUAUAUAUAUAUAUAUAAAGAAGAAAGAAAAAAAUGAACAAGAGAGAAAAGGAACGAAGGAACAAAGAGAACAAUGAGAAUGUGCGCGCACGCGCGUGCAGAUUACAUUGGUAUGAGUACGUAGGUGUGUUAACUGCACGUGUCAGAAACAGAGAGAGAGAGAAAGAGAGACAGAGUAGGAGGGAGGAAAAGAGAGGAGGAACUAGAUGACGUAAGCUUCGAUUACACGCCGUUGCAUGGCGCGUACGGCGCACGACUGCAAAUCGCAUUCGCGUCAGCGCGUUCAUCGUACACACACGUAUCUGUUUUCAGUGCGUGUAAAUCUGUCGUUUAUCUUCUCUCUCUCUCUCUCUCUGUAUUUUUCUUUUUGUAAAACGUAUAUGUAUGCGUGCUUACACGUAUGAAGGACGAGGCCUUCAAGCAGGCACGUAACACUCGCGUAUCUCUCUUCGCUUCUUCGUGUAUCAACCAUAUAUGUAUAUAUAUAUAAUGCUGUUAGAUUGCCGUCAGCUGACAAGAUGAGAACAAGUCUAGAAACAGGAAAAGACCUUCUACUUCUUCUUUGAGAUAUUACUUUUAAGAGAAAUGAAAAGACAUGUCCUAAGGAAUUUUUCAUUCAACUCUUCAUGGAAAUUAGACGAGAAAGAGAGAGAGAGAGAGAGAGAGAGAGAGAGAGAGAGAGAGAGAGAGAGAGAGAGAGAGAGAGGUUUAACCUAACCAAACUUAAUACGUGUUUCAUAAUUUUACGAAAAUUGUGGAUAUAUGUACCUAACCUUACUUUCUAGUUUGAAAAGUAAAUGUUUUUAUGGUGAACUCGUAGAGACACCUAACCUCACUUUGUUAGUUCGAAAGUUAAACUACAGUCGUAAAACGCUGGAAGAAGAAGAUUUCUCUGGAACAAAUAAAAGUGACGCCCGCCCCUUCUUGAAUGUACGAAUCGUUUCUCCCUUUCCCCUCCCCAACCCUCUACGUCACUUUCUUCCACGAAGGAAAACAAUUACUAUUGGAGGAACGGACAACGAUGAGAACGACGAUGAAAACGACGAUGAGAACGACGACUACGAAGACGACAAUGAUGACGGUGGUAAAACAGCUGUCGCCUUGACCUUACUCAAUGCGCUUCUCGCCACGAUAUAUCGUGACUGCCAUUUCUUCACGUUCUCUUUCUCAGUCGAUGUAUAAAUCCGCUUUAAACGACUUUACUCUCUAUGAAACCUCGAUAUAUAACGUUGAAAAUAAAUUCCGCAGUUAAUCCUCGUAGUAAAGGGAUAAAUCACAAACGUGUCGAAUUUAAUUGAUUCCUAUAUAUGUAUGUAUGUAUGUAUGUAUGUAUGUAUGUAUGUAUGUAUAAUGUGUGUGUGUGUGUGUAUGUGUGUGUAUGUAUAUACAGCAACCACCAACCAACCUGUUGCACAUCAUACUCCCUCCUGUCCUAAUAAAUAAUAAAAGUAAAAACUCUUCAAUAUUUGUCAUGUACCAACCAAACGUCAUCGUGGAAUUUAAAAGGAAAAAGAAAAAAAAAAAAAAGAAAAAAGAGAAAGAAGACAGGAAAAAAGAUAAAUCUAAAAGAGGUAUAGUAUCAAGCGCACGCACAAUAUCAUGAUAAAUAAUAUCAAAUUAAAGCUUAAUAACUUUUAAACAUUAUUCAUAUUCCCAAUCAACUAACCAACCAACCUGAUCACGUUAUUCUCAAAAACAAGUAAUGAAGAAAGGGGGGAGGAAAAAAAAAUAAGACAGGAAAAUAAGUUAAAAUAAGACCGUUUGUGCAUCAUACCACAAAGAUGUCCUAAUAAAUAAUACAAAUCAAAAUUCUUAAACUUUUUUCCUCAACAUUGUUCAUAUCCUAACUAACAGGAUUAUCAAGGUAUUCUAAAAAACAAGACGCUGAAAAGAAAAAAGAAAGAGAGGAAGAUAGAAGAAAGAGAGAGAGAGAGAGAGA